This 253-nucleotide ribosomal RNA is filed under the name uncultured bacterium. RNAcentral's name for it is "partial 16S ribosomal RNA". It matches the Rfam family "Bacterial small subunit ribosomal RNA", at positions 524 to 776 of the family's 1533-position model. The record is from RNAcentral.
UACGUAGGGUGCGAGCGUUGUCCGGAAUUACUGGACGUAAAGAGCUCGUAGGUGGUUUGUCGCGUUGUUCGUGAAAACCGGGGGCUUAACCCUCGGCGGGCGGGCGAUACGGGCAGACUGGAGUACUGCAGGGGAGACUGGAAUUCCUGGUGUAGCGGUGGAAUGCGCAGAUAUCAGGAGGAACACCGGUGGCGAAGGCGGGUCUCUGGGCAGUAACUGACGCUGAGGAGCGAAAGCGUGGGGAGCGAACAGG